AGCUUUGCGCAGUGGCAGUAUUGUAGCCAAUGAAGUUUAUCCAAGGCGUGAUCAUUGCUAAUGGAAGACUUUUCCCAUUACCCGCCAAGAUGACUUGAAGUAUAGACGGCAUUGGCAGUUUUUGACAGUCUGUGGAGAC
Molecule: small nuclear RNA, 139 nt
Organism: Saimiri boliviensis boliviensis (Bolivian squirrel monkey)
Lineage: Eukaryota; Metazoa; Chordata; Mammalia; Primates; Cebidae
Gene: U4
Rfam family: U4 spliceosomal RNA
About the family: U4 small nuclear RNA (U4 snRNA) is a component of the major U2-dependent spliceosome.
Source: Ensembl